AAGCAAGAUGACCCGCCGAAUUUAANCAUA
RNAcentral lists this ribosomal RNA (30 nucleotides) under Pseudo-nitzschia delicatissima. RNAcentral describes it as "partial large subunit ribosomal RNA". The record is from RNAcentral. Lineage: Eukaryota; Bacillariophyta; Bacillariophyceae; Bacillariales; Bacillariaceae.